GACGAACGCUGGCGGCGUGCUUAACACAUGCAAGUCGAACGGAAAGGCCCUGCUUUUGUGGGGUGCUCGAGUGGCGAACGGGUGAGUAACACGUGAGUAACCUGCCCUUGACUUUGGGAUAACUUCAGGAAACUGGGGCUAAUACCGGAUAGGAGCUCCUGCUGCAUGGUGGGGGUUGGAAAGUUUCGGCGGUUGGGGAUGGACCCGCGGCUUAUCAGCUUGUUGGUGGGGUAGUGGCUUACCAAGGCUUUGACGGGUAGCCGGCCUGAGAGGGUGACCGGCCACAUUGGGACUGAGAUACGGCCCAGACUCCUACGGGAAGCAGCAGUGGGGAAUAUUGCACAAUGGGCGGAAGCCUGAUGCAGCAACGCCGCGUGCGGGAUGACGGCCUUCGGGUUGUAAACCGCUUUCGCCUGUGACGAAGCGUGAGUGACGGUAAUGGGUAAAGAAGCACCGGCUAACUACGUG
Molecule: ribosomal RNA, 468 nt
Filed under: uncultured bacterium
Lineage: Bacteria
Description: partial 16S ribosomal RNA
Rfam family: Bacterial small subunit ribosomal RNA
Source: RNAcentral